UAGACCAAGACCAAUGGGGCUCUCGGGCUCCUAAGUUAAGGUGACUCUGGAUAACUGUGCUGAUCGCAUGGCCUUAGCGCCGGCGAUGAAUCUUUCAAGCGUCUGCCUUAUCAACUUUCGAUGGUAGGUUAUGCGCCUACCAUGGUUGUAACGGGUGACGGGGAAUCAGGGUUCGAUUCCGGAGAGGGAGCCUGAGAAACGGCUACCACAUCCAAGGAAGGCAGCAGGCACGCAAAUUACCCACUCCCAGAACGGGGAGGUAGUGACGAAAAAUAACAAUACGGGAUUCUAAUGAAGCCCCGUAAUUGGAAUGAAAACAAUCUAAAUCCUUUAAUGAGGAUCAAUUGGAGGGCAAGUCUGGUGCCAGCAGCCGCGGUAAUUCCAGCUCCAAUAGCGUAUAUUAAAGUUGUUGUGGUUAAAAAGCUCGUAGUUGGACCUCAGUUCAUGCUAUGUGGUCCGCUUGCCGGCGGUUACUGCUUAGCUGAACAGCUUACAGAUUUGUCUUGUGAUGCUCUUUACCGGGUGUCAUGAGCGAUCUGUACGUUUACUUUGAACAAAUUAGAGUGCUCAAAGCAG
RNAcentral lists this ribosomal RNA (576 nucleotides) under uncultured eukaryote. RNAcentral describes it as "bacterial SSU rRNA". It matches the Rfam family "Eukaryotic small subunit ribosomal RNA", at positions 211 to 783 of the family's 1831-position model. The record is from RNAcentral.